Long non-coding RNA from Bos taurus (domestic cattle), 1188 nucleotides. Lineage: Eukaryota; Metazoa; Chordata; Mammalia; Artiodactyla; Bovidae. The record is from Ensembl.
GAAUAAUGAAGAUAAUAAAAGAUGUUGCUAAAAAUGGGCACAAUAACAGCAAAUUUCAUCAAGCCGCGCGCUCUGAUUAAUCUGCUCUUGCAAAUCAGCAGCGAGAGGGGAGCGCGUGAUUAACCGCACCGAGGCCGGCAGCAGGCGGCGGCGCUGCCCUUUCUCCGCGUGUCUCUGGGCGCGUCCUGCCCGCUCCCCGCGCCGCCCGCGCGCCUCUCGCCGCAGCUGCCGCUGGGGCCGCCCCGGGAGCGGCUCAACGGGGCGCACCGCCGCCGCCUGCCCGCCGCCCGGGCUUCACGCCUCGGCCGCUGCGCCGCAGCCUUUUGUCGCGGCUGCGUGCGGGGUGAUGGCCGCCUUGCCCCGCGGUCCCCUCGCACCUCCGCUCCGGGAGCUUCCCGCCUGCGCCUUGGUAGGGGGGAGGCCCCGGAGGCGCUGAAGUCCUCGCUACCCCCGUUCACUCUCCCGAUGCAGAAUAAACUGGGAAACAAUUAGCUAGCCGGGUGGGAAGGUGGUGGGCUACUCCAAGGCCGGCGGGCUGUGUACCCCCGCCCUCGAAUGGGGCUGGGGGUCCCGGCAGUUGGGAAUUGCUAAUUAGGAGAGAAGAUGAGAGCUGCCCGUUGGGCCCGUGAGGGCAGCCACUUUCGAAGAAACCAGGAAUGGCGCUGUGAGAUGCGCGGGCCCUGUUCCACCCAGCUCCCCAUCACGCACAAAAAAGAACGGGCCUUGAAGGAGAUGAGUUUAUUAUCCCCUUUUAAACGACUGUUCAGAAAAGAUCAGGAGAGGGAAAAAAAAAAAAAAUGCUUCCACCCCGCCAAUUUCCUUCCCUUGAAGAAAAGAGAAAGAAAAAGCAACCCACAAAGGGCCAACACAAGGGGCUAAUAAAAUCUCUGAGAGCUGUAGUACUCAAAUACAUGUUGUGUGGGAGUUUGUGAAAGCAACUUUGCUGAGUACAAACCCUAGACGAUGAAACUGAAAACACUUCGAAAAUCACAGGAUCCUCUCCCAAUCACGGCGCCGCACUUUUCCAGCUUUCUAGGAUAAAGUUGUCUCAGGAAAAUAAAAACUGUUGAUAAACCAUCGUUCCAGACUGUUACUUAUUUUGCAACUCUCCGUUUGCAAUCGAUCAUAGCUCGGGCCUAACAGAACUGACUCGGGCUUUUCAUUUGUUUAUAGAGAGUGCAGUGUUUU